UACGUAGGGUGCGAGCGUUAAUCGGAAUUACUGGGCGUAAAGCGUGCGCAGGCGGUUUUGUAAGCCAGAUGUGAAAGCCCCGGGCUUAACCUGGGAAUGGCAUUUGGGACUGCAAGGCUUGAGUGCGGCAGAGGAGACUGGAAUUCCCGGUGUAGCAGUGAAAUGCGUAGAUAUCGGGAGGAAUACCGAUGGCGAAGGCAGGUCUCUGGGCUGACACUGACGCUCAUGCACGAAAGCGUGGGGAGCAAUCAGG
RNAcentral lists this ribosomal RNA (253 nucleotides) under uncultured bacterium. RNAcentral describes it as "partial 16S ribosomal RNA". It matches the Rfam family "Bacterial small subunit ribosomal RNA", at positions 524 to 776 of the family's 1533-position model. The record is from RNAcentral.